RNAcentral lists this transfer RNA (75 nucleotides) under Planococcus sp. MB-3u-03. RNAcentral's name for it is "tRNA-Asn". It matches the Rfam family "tRNA". From Rfam's summary of the family: Transfer RNA (tRNA) molecules are approximately 80 nucleotides in length. The record is from RNAcentral. Lineage: Bacteria; Bacillati; Bacillota; Bacilli; Caryophanales; Caryophanaceae.
UCCGAAGUAGCUCAGUGGUAGAGCACCGCACUGUUAAUGCGAUGGUCGUAGGUUCGAGUCCCACCUUCGGAGCCA